CGAAGUAGGAUUUUAUGCGUUAAGUGUUCAUUGGCUGGGGAGUCGCCGUGAAACGAAAAGCAGUACAGAUGCUUACGAUAUGAUUUCCGCACCCGUUG
This 98-nucleotide non-coding RNA is filed under the name uncultured Blautia sp. Its description in RNAcentral is "THF riboswitch". It matches the Rfam family "THF (Tetrahydrofolate) riboswitch aptamer". From Rfam's summary of the family: THF riboswitch presents a pseudoknot that joins P1-P2 and the loop of P3 and two THF binding. Lineage: Bacteria; Bacillati; Bacillota; Clostridia; Lachnospirales; Lachnospiraceae. The record is from RNAcentral.